GACGAACGCUGGCGGCGUGCUUAACACAUGCAAGUCGAACGGAAAGGCCUGCUUUCCCUUGUGGAUUGCGGGUACUCGAGUGGCGAACGGGUGAGUAACACGUGAGUGAUCUGCCCCCAACUUGGGUAUAAGCCUGGGAAACUGGGUCUAAUUCCCGAUAGGACUGCAGGGUGGUGCCUGUGGUGGAAAACGAUUUUCUAGUGGUUGGGGAUGAGCUCGCGGCCUAUGAGCUUGUUGGUGGGGUAAUGGCCUACCAAGGCGGCGACGGGUAGCCGGCCUGAGAGGGUGGACGGCGACAGUGGGACUGAGAUACGGCCCAGACUCCUACGGGAGGCAGCAGUGGGGAAGAGUGCACGAUGGGCGGAAGCCUGAUGCAGCGACGCCGCGUGGGGGAUGACGGCCUUCGGGUUGUAAACUCCUUUCGGCCGCGAGGAAGCCACCUGGUUGGAAGGGUGGUGACGGUAGUGGGAGAAGAAGCACCGGCUAACUACGUG
RNAcentral lists this ribosomal RNA (494 nucleotides) under uncultured bacterium. Its description in RNAcentral is "partial 16S ribosomal RNA". It matches the Rfam family "Bacterial small subunit ribosomal RNA", at positions 28 to 507 of the family's 1533-position model. The record is from RNAcentral.